This 99-nucleotide transfer RNA is filed under the name Mycobacterium avium. RNAcentral's name for it is "tRNA-Ser". RNAcentral also lists the same sequence under 1 other name. Lineage: Bacteria; Bacillati; Actinomycetota; Actinomycetes; Mycobacteriales; Mycobacteriaceae. The record is from RNAcentral.
GGUCCAGUUCGUCCAGCUUGACCAGCAUGAACGUCUGGCUUCUGACUUCGCCUCAGCUUCACACGCGGAAGGUCGCUGGUUCGAUCCCAGCCGGGACCA